RNAcentral lists this ribosomal RNA (662 nucleotides) under Plexaurella grandiflora. RNAcentral's name for it is "partial large subunit ribosomal RNA". The record is from RNAcentral. Lineage: Eukaryota; Metazoa; Cnidaria; Anthozoa; Malacalcyonacea; Plexauridae.
GAUAGCGAACAAGUACCGUGAGGGAAAGAUGAAAAGSACUUUGAAAAGAGAGUUAAAAAGUACGUGAAACCGUUGAAAGGGAAGCGAAUGGAGUUAGCAAUUCGCCCUGCCAGAUUCAGCCGUUCGUGCUUCGCGACGUGCGCGUGCUCGAUUCACACUUGGGCGAGCCGUAUACGGAUGCGACGUGCUGGCGGCGCACUUCUGGCUAAGCGAGCGUCAGCGUCGGUUGUCGACGGGCGACAAAGGACGAGAGGAAGGUGAGCCGGUCUUCACGGCCGGUUGUUAAGCCUCUUGCUCGCAUAGCUCGACGGCGACCGUGGCUCUGCGACGCGUGCCUAGCUGGUGACUCUUGUGAUCGGCUCGGCUGUCGACCGUGGCGGACGGCAUGCCUGUGCGUUCCAAACUGCUGCCGGUCGAUCGCAUGAUGUUCACACAAUACGCGUCGAAGAUGCUGACGGCCAUACGGCUCCAUCCGACCCGUCUUGAAACACGGACCAAGGAGUCUAACAUGUGCGCGAGUCUCCGGGUGAUCGAAACCCGUGGGCAUAAUGAAAGUAAAGAUCGUCCUUGACGAUUGAGGUGAGAAGCGGACACUUCGGUGUUCGCUGCAUCAUCGACCGACCUAUUCUGCUCUCAGAAAGGUUUGAGUAAGAGCGUAUCUG